Gallus gallus (chicken) is the source of this 302-nucleotide long non-coding RNA. RefSeq lists it as uncharacterized. NCBI's taxonomy places the organism in Eukaryota, Metazoa, Chordata, Aves, Galliformes, Phasianidae. The transcript has 3 exons. The record is from RefSeq and is a predicted model, not a curated record.
GCCCGGAUCUGCCCAGAGGAAACGGUCCAGUUUCUGCAGUCACAGCUGGGCGCUGACAAGGAGGCUGGACGCGUGGCAGCCCUGGGUCUGCUCGGUGCUCUGGCUCGCUCUGAUGAGCCCGUGAUGGCAAAGAAGCUGCCCCAGGUUGUGGAGGCUGUGCAGUGUCUGUGCAGCGACCCCAGGACCCAGGUGAGGAGGGCCAUUCUGCGCUUCAUCAAGGAUGUGCUCAGUGCUAACGCCCGGAGCUGCUCAGCCUGGGAUGUGGUGGGGCACAUCUUCAGUGAGUUCAGCCGCACCGCAGG